AUGAUUUGAAGACACAAGCCGCGGAAUUUGAACGAUACUGCAAGUAUCCAAUGGAUGAGAACGGGCAGACAUUGAAGGACUUUUUGUCGCGACAUCCCACCGUCCAUUAUAAGCUGUUUAAAUAUUACGUACUCAACGAGACCCGUUUCAAGUUUGUGGUACGACAUAUUUUACCAGCCUUACGAACUAACAAGUAUCUGUUGGAUCUGUCGAUGCCUGCUCGCGUUACAAAUGAAGGAAUGUACACGUUUCUAUAACCACCAAAACCGAACCGGGGAAAUCGUUCCGUAUGUCUGUGCGCCCAUUAACUUAUCCUUGACAACCAAACGGUUGGUCGAACAUGCAAUACAUUAAAGACGCAUGGCCUGAGCAUUUUGUCCGCAUGUAUUCGACUCUGACCUGGAAGCAACUGAAGUAUGCAGUCCACUCUCGUUUUGUUACGUGGAUCGUACUAAGCAAGAUACUAAAGUGAAAAAAGAAGAACAGGCGGAAGAAGGACAUACACGCGAUUUUUACCAGUGCAAGUUGCCUCCCGAUAUGGAUAUCAGUCAACUGAGUCCGGAAGAACUGAAGAAACUGGAAUGGAAGCAUCUCGUGACGGGCGUGCAGUAUGCAUUAAUGCAUCAUCAGUCGGGGCAAGUUAUCAUAAAUAACAUUGCGAAAUGGAAUUCGAGAUUGCUCAUCAUUAUGUCAGAGGGACUGCGUUUUUCAAGAAAGUCGACUAUGCGACAGAAUUUCUAUGGCACACAAAUCAG
This is a long non-coding RNA of Paramacrobiotus metropolitanus, 755 nucleotides long. RefSeq lists it as uncharacterized. The transcript has 4 exons. Lineage: Eukaryota; Metazoa; Tardigrada; Eutardigrada; Parachela; Macrobiotidae. The record is from RefSeq and is a predicted model, not a curated record.